ACAUCGUGAGGUUAGUGCAAUGGCAUAAGCCCGCUUAACUGCGAGAAUGACGGUUCGAGCAGGUGCGAAAGCAGGUCAUAGUGAUCCGGUGGUUCUGAAUGGAAGGGCCAUCGCUCAACGGAUAAAAGGUACUCCGGGGAUAACAGGCUGAUACCGCCCAAGAGUUCAUAUCGACGGCGGUGUUUGGCACCUCGAUGUCGGCUCAUCACAUCCUGGGGCUGAAGUAGGUCCCAAGGGUAUGGCUGUUCGCCAUUUAAAGUGGUACGCGAGCUGGGUUUAGAACGUCGUGAGACAGUUCGGUCCCUAUCUGCCGUGGGCGCUGGAGAAUUGAGGGGGGCUGCUCCUAGUACGAGAGGACCGGAGUGGACGCAUCACUGGUGUUCGGGUUGUCAUGCCAAUGGCACUGCCCGGUAGCUAAAUGCGGAAGAGAUAAGUGCUGAAAGCAUCUAAGCACGAAACUUGCCCCGAGAUGAGUUCUCCCUGAGACUUUAAGUCUCCUGAAGGAACGUUGAAGACGACGACGUUGAUAGGCCGGGUGUGUAAGCGCAGCGAUGCGUUGAGCUAACCGGUACUAAUGAACCGUGAGGCUUAACCUUACAACGCCGAAG
RNAcentral lists this ribosomal RNA (608 nucleotides) under Flammeovirga yaeyamensis. RNAcentral describes it as "partial 23S ribosomal RNA". It matches the Rfam family "Bacterial large subunit ribosomal RNA", at positions 2335 to 2925 of the family's 2925-position model. Lineage: Bacteria; Pseudomonadati; Bacteroidota; Cytophagia; Cytophagales; Flammeovirgaceae. The record is from RNAcentral.